CUAACAUAAUUGUCAAUUCGUUCAUGUCUUUUACGACAUAAAAAACAAGAAAAUAAAAAUUAUUGAAAAGAAAAUUACGUUAUUCAAUAUUCGUUCAAUUCUUAUAAAAUAAAUUAUAAAAAAGUGCUAUUAAAUUUAUCCAAACGAAAUUCAAUAAGAAAGAAAUUCGGAAGCAUCAAAGGACUACGAUCUAUCGCAGUAUAUAUCGUUGUUCGAAGGACGACCCGUCACGUCGAAAGAAUCGACUUUGCUUAUUUAAUUCUCGAACGUCGACGUAAUCAAUUCCCACUGUGAAUACCGAAAGCCAUUUUUGUAAGGAUAUGUUCCCUUUAGAGAGAUACUAUCCGAAAGCCGAGAUUUUAUCUCGGGAAAAGAGUUUGCGAACGAGUCGCGUAUUUUGGAGAAAUUGAUUGGCCGACGAGAAGAAAGAGAAAGAAGAAGUCUCACGUGGUUCAUCGAAAGAACGCCAAAAGAGAGAGAGAGAGAGAGAGAGAAGAGAGGAGUGGGGGAAGAGAGACGAGUAGUGGACGAUGACAAAGGCUGAUGGUGGGAGAUUAAAACAAUGCCGUCGUCUCGGUUCGAAUAACGCGGGUGUGACAGGUCUUCCUACCUUCACCAGAAAACAGAUUCAGCUACGAGGAUGGACCUUAACGAGGCCUCUCUAAUAAAUAACCGUCCAGUUCGAGUUUCUCCUUUUCCUCUUCUCCCCCUCCAACAUCAGCUUAACUCUCCUCCCUUCUUCGUACUCCGUUAGUUUCCUUCGUGUUGUCUUCUCUUCUACUUCUCUCGUCUACGUCUUCGUCUCUGUCUACGUCUACGAUUUGGUUCCAUACGAAUGGUAGACCAAAGGGAUGGACCCAAAACCGGCCCUCGAAGAUGGAUGUGUUUCAUGGCGCCGCCGUCACCUAGAAAGCCCUUUCCAACGGACUUCCAGUUGAACUUACCUUCGGAAAGAGGAAGAGUAGCGAAAACGACGGCAACAUUUUCAUCUUUGGAAGAGAAGAAACUCGAACGCGGGAUCGUCGUUCGUGUCCUCAAUAUAUACCUGGCUCGCUGUUAACCCCAAGGGUUUCUCUUAUCUUCCACCCGAUCUUCUUCACGCAUAUUAUACUACGUGGAAAACAGUAAGAGUAAAAAAAGAAGAAGAAGAAGAAGAGGAGGAAAAGGAAACGAAGAGAGGACGCACAAGAUGUACACAUACUAGCGACGGAAUUCUCUUGAGUUCUGUCGCGCGAAUAACAGGAUCAGGUUACCGUCUUGGAAAGGAAAAAAGAAUCUAAAAAAAAGAAAGAUAUAUAUAUAUAUAUAUAUAUAUAUAUAUAUAUAUAUAUAGAGAGAGAGAGAGAGAGAGAGAGAUGAAAAAUAAAAUAAAGAAUAAGGGAUAUCCUAAGUGUGGUGGUGUCUCUUGAAGAGAAUUUCGAACGGCGACAUGGCGCGGCAAUUUGAUUCAAAAAGAUUCGAGAAAGUAUACGAGGGAGGAAGUUAGGAAGGGUUGAUCGUUCAUCGUUUUUCGGUGAAUUAAACUUCAACUCUCGAUGAUCCUUCUUUACUUAUUCCCUUCCCAAAAAAAAAAAAAAAAGAAAAUAUCAGGAUUCGAUAAAGGUCUAGAUACCUACUUAUUUUUUCUUUUUUUGUUUUUUUUUUUUUUUUUUUUUUUUUUAUA
Vespa velutina is the source of this 1663-nucleotide long non-coding RNA. RefSeq lists it as uncharacterized. The record is from RefSeq and is a predicted model, not a curated record. Lineage: Eukaryota; Metazoa; Arthropoda; Insecta; Hymenoptera; Vespidae. The transcript is spliced from 2 exons.